Molecule: unclassified non-coding RNA, 257 nt
Filed under: plant metagenome
Description: partial contains small subunit ribosomal RNA, internal transcribed spacer 1, and 5.8S ribosomal RNA
Rfam family: Eukaryotic small subunit ribosomal RNA (bases 1-53)
Source: RNAcentral
GGAAAUAAAAUCGUAACAAGGUUUCCGUAGGUGAACCUGCGGAAGGAUCAUUACUGAGUGAGGGCCCCUCGGGGUCCAACCUCCCACCCGUGUUUAACGAACCUUGUUGCUUCGGCGGGCCCGCCUCACGGCCGCCGGGGGGCAUCUGCCCCCGGGCCCGCGCCCGCCGAAGCCACCUGUGAACGCUGUCUGAAGUAUGCAGUCUGAGACAAUUAUUAAAUUAAUUGAAACUUUCAACAACGGAUCUCUUGGUUCUG